Molecule: non-coding RNA, 31 nt
Filed under: Alexandrium tamarense
Lineage: Eukaryota; Dinophyceae; Gonyaulacales; Pyrocystaceae
Source: RNAcentral
GACCGGAAGGAAGCAGCGCACGUUAGGCUUG